GAUGAACGCUAGCUACAGGCUCAACACAUGCAAGUCGAGGGGUUACGAGAGGAAAGCUUGCUUUCCUUGUCGACGACCGGCGCACGGGUGAGUAACGCGUAUCCAACCUGCCCCCAACUAGGGAAUAACCUUGCGAAAGUAAGACUAAUACCCUAUAAUUUCCUCAGAUGUCAUCUGACGAGGAAUAAAGAUUUAUCGGUUGUGGAUGGGGAUGCGUCUGAUUAGCUUGUUGGCGGGGUAACGGCCCACCAAGGCAACGAUCAGUAGGGGUUCUGAGAGGAAGGUCCCCCACAUUGGAACGGAGACACGGUCCAAACUCCUACGGGAGGCAGCAGUGAGGAAUAUUGGUCAAUGGGCGGAAGCCUGAACCAGCCAAGUAGCGUGCAGGAUGACGGCCCUAUGGGUUGUAAACUGCUUUUAUACAGGAAUAAAGUUAGCCACGUGUGGUUAUUUGUAGGUACUGUAUGAAUAAGGACCGGCUAAUUCCGUGCCAGCCGCCGCGGUAA
This 506-nucleotide ribosomal RNA is filed under the name uncultured bacterium. RNAcentral's name for it is "partial 16S ribosomal RNA". It matches the Rfam family "Bacterial small subunit ribosomal RNA", at positions 28 to 523 of the family's 1533-position model. The record is from RNAcentral.